UACGUAGGGAGCAAGCGUUGUCCGGAAUCAUUGGGCGUAAAGCGCGCGUAGGUGGCCCCAUAAGUCCGCUGUGAAAGUCAAAGGCUCAACCUUUGAAAGCCGGUGGAUACUGUGGGACUAGAGUACGGAAGAGGCGAGUGGAAUUCCUGGUGUAGCGGUGGAAUGCGUAGAUAUCAGGAGGAACACCGAUGGCGAAGGCAGCUCUCUGGCCUAUAACUGACGCUGAGGUGCGAAAGCGUGGGGAGCAAACGGG
This 253-nucleotide ribosomal RNA is filed under the name uncultured bacterium. Its description in RNAcentral is "partial 16S ribosomal RNA". It matches the Rfam family "Bacterial small subunit ribosomal RNA", at positions 524 to 776 of the family's 1533-position model. The record is from RNAcentral.